GUGCUCGCUUUGGCAGCACAUAUACUAAAACUGGAACAAUACAGAGAUGAGCAUGGCCCUUGCACAAGGAUGACAUGCAAAUUCGUUAAGCAUUCCAUAUUUAU
Symphalangus syndactylus (siamang) is the source of this 104-nucleotide small nuclear RNA. The record is from RefSeq and is a predicted model, not a curated record. NCBI's taxonomy places the organism in Eukaryota, Metazoa, Chordata, Mammalia, Primates, Hylobatidae.